AGGAAACUUUACGCAGAUUCUUUUUUUUUUACUUUCCUUCUUUCCUUUUGAGGGUUAGAGAAAUGAAAAAAAAAAAUAGAUAUAUAUAUUUAUAGGGAUUGU
Molecule: non-coding RNA, 102 nt
Filed under: Symbiodinium sp. clade D
Lineage: Eukaryota; Dinophyceae; Suessiales; Symbiodiniaceae
Source: RNAcentral